CAAGCAGAGAUUGAAGGUUGAGAAAGAAGAGGAUGAAGUGGUGAAAACGGAAAUGGACAAUGUUGGUGACAGUGCAGCUCCUUCUAAUGAUGGUAGCUGCAUAUAAAAUUUCGGAUGAAAGUUUACAUGGUCACACAGAAGACAUUUAUACCAAUAUUGGUAUUUGAAAGAUUCCACUCUAGCCAAAAUAUGAGUCCUAGGCUAUAGAAUUUUGGCCAGAUGGGAGACUGAAAAUCCAUUGCGUCUUAGCUGUCUUUAAGAAUGUGCAAGACGGAUUCAGGUCCACCUUAACAUCGUGGACAACUACUAUCAUCUGUCAUAGUGCAUUUGUGUUGUUCUUCAUUUGUCAAAAGUUUAUAUCACUACCAUUAGUAAGAAAGCUAAAUGAAUAUUUAGAAGUUCUUUGAUGCAUGAUAGAUAUCAACAAGUACGAUACCAUUUGUGAAAGUUCAGAGCUUUCCAAGUUUCUGCUGUAACUAAGUCUUUUGUUGUUUAUAUAAAAGAGAAAUCUUUUAUGGUUUAAUCUUGUAUCAAUUUUAUAAUAUUUAUAUUUUGAAUUUAUCUAUGUUUUAGAGGUUAA
Lathyrus oleraceus (garden pea) is the source of this 580-nucleotide long non-coding RNA. RefSeq lists it as uncharacterized. Lineage: Eukaryota; Viridiplantae; Streptophyta; Magnoliopsida; Fabales; Fabaceae. The transcript has 2 exons. The record is from RefSeq and is a predicted model, not a curated record.